RNA transcript from Dendrobium catenatum, 1366 nucleotides. RefSeq lists it as uncharacterized. NCBI's taxonomy places the organism in Eukaryota, Viridiplantae, Streptophyta, Magnoliopsida, Asparagales, Orchidaceae. The transcript is spliced from 11 exons. The record is from RefSeq and is a predicted model, not a curated record.
GUCGGCUUCGCGUGCAUCACCGGAAGUAGAGGUUUGAAAAAUUCGUUUAGGACGGGAGAUUUUUGUAUGGAUUCUUUGCCUUCGGCGACGUUGUUCAUUUGGAUCGGAAGUAACGACGGGAGCUGGCUCGCUGCGAAGGUUUUUGUGUCCACUAUCAUGCAAAGUUGAUUUUCCCUUAAACUGUUAAAAAAAUCCUUGAAGCUCUCGUUAGAUCAGUACUUUGAAUGAUCAUAGUGCCUACUUGAAGUAGAUGAAAGGAAAGUUGGUGGCUUUGACCUUCGCCGAAAGAUGCAAGAAUAUAUUGGCAGCCAACUGUCAAGCUUAUCUAAAUACAAUUAAAGCUGAUGCCAAGGGAAGCAAGGAUGACAUCCAUACCUCAAGGAUACAUUACAUGUUGAAGAAGGGAAAGCCAUACAUCUGGGUCAAAGAAGGAGACUUGCAUAAUGUGAAUGUGAUCAUUGAUGAGCGUGGUUCACUUGCAGUGAGUGCUGUUGUUCCCGGCUCCAUUAUGAGACUGCUCAGAUCAAUGGGAAAGGCACCAGCUCGGGUAGCCCUUGCAGGUGAUGUCAUCCCUCUGAAAGAUAACAAAGUUCAGGCCUUAAGUGAAGGGCUCCUACAGCAUUUGGAGAAAGUAGAAAACUAUGCCAGCCAUUCUAGUUAUGCAGUUUCUGCUCUACUAAGUUCUGCUAGCAUAAAUUGCAAAUCAAGAAUGGAAACCUUCCAGGAAAUACUCGAUCAAAAUAGUAACUAUGUUGCCCACAAGUUUAACAUCAGUUCUUGCAGUUAUGUUGAUGGCAGUGGAAACAUUCAUGAUGCGGAAGUGGGUGAAGUUCAAGCACCUAAAGCAGACCUCUUGUUUCCAUUUGCUGAAAAGCUGAUUGAUGGGAUAAACCAAAGUCAGCCAAGGCGUCGAGCAUUGAUGCUUUUCUGUUUGGAAUACUACAAUGCACAUGCACGAGAUGCAUUGAUGUUAUCAAUUGAUCAAUAUGGGUUCGAUGUCCUUGCUAAGGUCUCCCAAUCUAUGACAAGCAACAUCCAGAACCUGGAGUAUGUUUGGAAGGAGUUCAGGUUCUCAUUCAAAGAAGAGGCAAGUGAUCUCGAAACUUUUUGUAAUUUACUUAUUGGUUUGGAAGAAGAGGUUCUUCAGAGUGUUCGAAGCUACAGCGGUCUUCAUUAAUAUCCUGCUUAGGUAGCACCUAGGAUUUCAUUUAAGCACGAUUUUGUAAAUCCUCUAAAUCUGGAUUUACGAAAUUCUAGGAGGGUUAAAUUCUAAAAACUGUUUGAUAACAUUUAUGAUAAAUACUGUGUGACUGUGUUGACUGUGUUGACUAUUCAAUUCAGAAUUUAAAGCGGUUAAGAGAUUUGA